AUACGGAGGAUGCGAGCGUUAUCCGGAUUUAUUGGGUUUAAAGGGUGCGUAGGCGGAACAAUAAGUCAGUGGUGAAAGACUGCAGCUUAACUGUAGACUUGCCGUUGAUACUGUUGAUCUUGAGUAUGGUCAAGGCAGGCGGAAUGUGUAAUGUAGCGGUGAAAUGCUUAGAUAUUACACAGAACACCGAUUGCGAAGGCAGCUUGCUGGGCCAUUACUGACGCUGAUGCACGAAAGCGUGGGGAUCGAACAGGAUUAGAUACCCUAGUAGUCCACGCAGUAAACGAUGAUCACUCGCUGUUGGCGAUACACAGUCAGCGGCUAAGCAAAAGCAUUAAGUGAUCCACCUGGGGAGUACGGCCGCAAGGCUGAA
RNAcentral lists this ribosomal RNA (373 nucleotides) under uncultured bacterium. RNAcentral's name for it is "bacterial SSU rRNA". It matches the Rfam family "Bacterial small subunit ribosomal RNA", at positions 523 to 898 of the family's 1533-position model. The record is from RNAcentral.